UACAGAGGUCCCAAGCGUUGUUCGGAUUCAUUGGGCGUAAAGGGUGUGUAGGUGGCGCCGUAAGUCGGGUGUGAAAUUUCGGAGCUUAACUCCGAAACUGCAUUCGAUACUGCGGUGCUUGAGGACUGGAGAGGAGACUGGAAUUCAUGGUGUAGCAGUGAAAUGCGUAGAUAUCAAGAGGAACACCAGUGGCGAAGGCGAGUCCCUGGACAACACCUGACACUGAGGCACGAAAGCCGGGGGAGCAAACAGG
Molecule: ribosomal RNA, 253 nt
Filed under: uncultured bacterium
Lineage: Bacteria
Description: partial 16S ribosomal RNA
Rfam family: Bacterial small subunit ribosomal RNA
Source: RNAcentral